CCGCUUCCAGUUUUGCCUCCGGACAUUGCGGUUAUGGGUUUGGUUUCCUCCUUCGGUUUCCUCCACCCGCCUUUCGGAUGGUGCAGUGAGUUCAAAUUCUACUCAUCUAGAAAGAGGCUCACCUAUCAACUCAACAAAACACUCGGAACGCAUUAAAACGCGGGCUCGUGAUGACGAUUCUUCCGGAGAGCUUGAGUCGUAAACCUUUAGCAUCUUUACACGUUUCGAGGAAGAAAUAAAUAAUGAAUGCAAGGCGGCAUGACUGCAAGCAUCCGAACAUUCCAAGGUAAAUGAAGAACUCACUUUGAUUCCGAUUUUCUCAGUGUCCAAAGUCGUUCUGUUCAGCUAUCUUUUGACGUAAGCCACAGCAACAACAAUAAUAAUAAUAUUAAUCACGGUA
Long non-coding RNA from Ornithorhynchus anatinus (platypus), 400 nucleotides. RefSeq lists it as uncharacterized. Lineage: Eukaryota; Metazoa; Chordata; Mammalia; Monotremata; Ornithorhynchidae. The transcript is spliced from 2 exons. The record is from RefSeq and is a predicted model, not a curated record.